Molecule: ribosomal RNA, 253 nt
Filed under: uncultured bacterium
Lineage: Bacteria
Description: partial 16S ribosomal RNA
Rfam family: Bacterial small subunit ribosomal RNA
Source: RNAcentral
AACGUAGGUGGCGAGCGUUAUCCGGAAUUACUGGGCGUAAAGCGUGUGCAGGCGGGGGGGUAAGUGGGGUAUGAAAUGUCCCGGCUCAACCGGGAGGGGUUAUGCCAGACUGCAUCUCUUGAGUGCGAGAGAGGAGCGUGGAAUUCCGGGUGUAGUGGUGAAAUGCGUAGAGAUGCGGAGGAACACCGAUGGCGAAGGCAGCCCCCUGGGCUAACACUGACGCUCAUGCACGAAAGCGUGGGGAGCAAACAGG